AACGGACGCUGGCGGCAUGCCUAACACAUGCAAGUCGAACGAGACCUUCGGGUCUAGUGGCGCACGGGUGCGUAACGUGUGGGAACCUGCCCUUAGGUUCGGAAUAACUCCCCGAAAGGGGUGCUAAUACCGGAUAAUGUCUUCGGACCAAAGAUUUAUCGCCUUUGGAUGGGCCCGCGUUGGAUUAGCUAGUUGGUAGGGUAAAAGCCUACCAAGGCGACGAUCCAUAGCUGGUCUGAGAGGAUGAUCAGCCACACUGGGACUGAGACACGGCCCAGACUCCUACGGGAGGCAGCAGUGGGGAAUAUUGGACAAUGGGCGAAAGCCUGAUCCAGCAAUGCCGCGUGAGUGAUGAAGGCCUUAGGGUUGUAAAGCUCUUUUACCCGGGAUGAUAAUGACAGUACCGGGAGAAUAAGCUCCGGCUAACUCCGUG
RNAcentral lists this ribosomal RNA (433 nucleotides) under uncultured bacterium. RNAcentral's name for it is "partial 16S ribosomal RNA". It matches the Rfam family "Bacterial small subunit ribosomal RNA", at positions 29 to 507 of the family's 1533-position model. The record is from RNAcentral.